This 467-nucleotide ribosomal RNA is filed under the name uncultured bacterium. Its description in RNAcentral is "partial 16S ribosomal RNA". It matches the Rfam family "Bacterial small subunit ribosomal RNA", at positions 28 to 507 of the family's 1533-position model. The record is from RNAcentral.
GACGAACGCUGGCGGCGUGCUUAACACAUGCAAGUCGAACGGAAAGGCCCUGCUUUUGUGGGGUGCUCGAGUGGCGAACGGGUGAGUAACACGUGAGUACCUGCCCUUUACUUUGGGAUUACUUUCGGAAAAUGGGGCCAAUACCCGAUUGGGGCCCCCGCCGGCUUGUGGGGGUUGGAAAGUUUCGGCGGUUGGGGAUGGACUCGCGGCUUAUCAGCUUGUUGGUGGGGUAGUGGCUUACCAAGGCUUUGACGGGUAGCCGGCCUGAGAGGGUGACCGGCCACAUUGGGACUGAGAUACGGCCCAGACUCCUACGGGAGGCAGCAGUGGGGAAUAUUGCACAAUGGGCGGAAGCCUGAUGCAGCAACGCCGCGUGCGGGAUGACGGCCUUCGGGUUGUAAACCGCUUUCGCCUGUGACGAAGCGUGAGUGACGGUAAUGGGUAAAGAAGCACCGGCUAACUACGUG